RNAcentral lists this ribosomal RNA (496 nucleotides) under uncultured bacterium. RNAcentral describes it as "bacterial SSU rRNA". It matches the Rfam family "Bacterial small subunit ribosomal RNA", at positions 19 to 518 of the family's 1533-position model. The record is from RNAcentral.
AUGGCUCAGGAUGAACGCUGGCGGCGUGCUUAACACAUGCAAGUCGAACGAGGAACACUGAUGAAGUUUCGGAUGGAAUCGGUAUUCCGAGUGGCGGACGGGUGAGUAACGCGUGGGUAACCUGCCCUGUACAGGGGGAUAACAGUUGGAAACGACUGUUAAUACCGCAUAAGACCACAGUGCCGCAUGGCACAGGGGUAAAAACUCCGGUGGUACAGGAUGGACCCGCGUCCAAUUAGCUAGUUGGUGAGGUAACGGCCCACCAAGGCGACGAUUGGUAGCCGAUCUGAGAGGAUGACCGGCCACAUUGGGACUGAGACACGGCCCAAACUCCUACGGGAGGCAGCAGUGGGGAAUAUUGCACAAUGGGGGAAACCCUGAUGCAAGCGACGCCGCGUGAGUGAUGAAGUAUUUCGGUAUGUAAAGCUCUAUCAGCAGGGAAGAAAAUGACGGUACCUGAGUAAGAAGCCCCGGCUAACUACGUGCCAGCCGCGGC